AAUAGAUACCCCGGUAGUCCACGCCGUAAACGAUGAGUGCUAGGUGUUAGGGGGUUUCCGCCCCUUAGUGCUGCAGCAAACGCAUUAAGCACUCCGCCUGGGGAGUACGGCCGCAAGGCUGAAACUCAAAGGAAUUGACGGGGGCCCGCACAAGCGGUGGAGCAUGUGGUUUAAUUCGAAGCAACGCGAAGAACCUUACCAGGUCUUGACAUCCUCUGACAACCCUAGAGAUAGGGCUUCUCCUUCGGGAGCAGAGUGACAGGUGGUGCAUGGUUGUCGUCAGCUCGUGUCGUGAGAUGUUGGGUUAAGUCCCGCAACGAGCGCAACCCUUGAUCUUAGUUGCCAUCAUUAAGUUGGGCACUCUAAGGUGACUGCCGGUGACAAACCGGAGGAAGGUGGGGAUGACGUCAAAUCAUCAUGCCCCUUAUGACCUGGGCUACACACGUGCUACAAUGGACGGUACAAAGAGCUGCAAGACCGCGAGGUGGAGCUAAUCUCAUAAAACCGUUCUCAGUUCGGA
RNAcentral lists this ribosomal RNA (520 nucleotides) under uncultured bacterium. RNAcentral describes it as "bacterial SSU rRNA". It matches the Rfam family "Bacterial small subunit ribosomal RNA", at positions 777 to 1297 of the family's 1533-position model. The record is from RNAcentral.